Molecule: ribosomal RNA, 375 nt
Filed under: uncultured bacterium
Lineage: Bacteria
Description: bacterial SSU rRNA
Rfam family: Bacterial small subunit ribosomal RNA
Source: RNAcentral
UAAUACGUAGGCAGCAAGCGUUGUUCGGAAUUACUGGGCGUAAAGAGUGUGUAGGCGGUUGCGCAAGUUUGGUGUGAAAUCUCCCGGCUCAACUGGGAGGGUGCGCCGAAAACUGCGUGGCUAGAGUGCCGGAUAGGAAAGCGGAAUUCCUGGUGUAGCGGUGAAAUGCGUAGAUAUCAGGAGGAACACCGGUGGUGUAGACGGCUUUCUGGACGGCCACUGACGCUGAGACACGAAAGCGUGGGGAGCAAACAGGAUUAGAUACCCUGGUAGUCCACGCCCUAAACGAUGCAUACUUGGUGUGAGCCAUUCAUUUGGUUCGUGCCGGAGCUAACGCGUUAAGUAUGCCGCCUGGGGAGUACGGUCGCAAGGCUG